This 77-nucleotide transfer RNA is filed under the name Acetivibrio clariflavus. RNAcentral describes it as "tRNA-Arg". It matches the Rfam family "tRNA". Rfam says of the family: Transfer RNA (tRNA) molecules are approximately 80 nucleotides in length. Their secondary structure includes four short double-helical elements and three loops (D, anti-codon, and T loops). RNAcentral also lists the same sequence under 1 other name. Lineage: Bacteria; Bacillati; Bacillota; Clostridia; Acetivibrionales; Acetivibrionaceae. The record is from RNAcentral.
CUGCCUGUAGCUCAGUUGGAUAGAGCAACGGACUUCUAAUCCGUCGGUCGGACGUUCGAGUCGUCUCAGGCAGGCCA